This 124-nucleotide small RNA is filed under the name Marmota monax (woodchuck). The record is from RNAcentral. Lineage: Eukaryota; Metazoa; Chordata; Mammalia; Rodentia; Sciuridae.
GCCAGGCCCAGUGGUGCAGGCCUGUAAUCCAGCAACUUGGGAGGCUGAGGCAGGAGGAUUGCAAGUUCAAAAUCAGCCUCAGCAAAAGUGUGGUGUUGAACAACUCAGUGAGACCCUGAAUCUA